Long non-coding RNA from Zalophus californianus (California sea lion), 891 nucleotides. Ensembl lists it as uncharacterized. The record is from Ensembl. Lineage: Eukaryota; Metazoa; Chordata; Mammalia; Carnivora; Otariidae.
CCCAGGGCAGGAUGCGCAGGGCAGGGGCGGUGGGGGAGGGGUAACCCGGCCAAGACGACGGAUACAGAAAGGGGCGGGGCGCAGUGGGACCGAUGAGGUGAGGAGCGGAGAGGCGGGGAGCAGCCCAGGGGGCGGAGCCCGAAGGAAGAGGGUAGGGACGGGGAGCCGAGGUGGUCCGCGGUGAAGCAAGAAGACCCUGGGGCAGGAGGGGUCGGCACACCUCGCAUACCUGCAGGCCCAAAUCCGGUCGGCGGCCCAAGAGUGCUCCCUAAAGUGGUCCUCUAAAGGCAGAACCGCUGCGGAGAAGGAAUGAGGAAAACGAGAGGAACGCAUACAAGCUUUGAGGAAGUGGGAAGAUGGGGUAAUGGAGGAGCCACCCUGUAAGGAACAGGCAGGUGUGGCUUCACCAGCACACAGUCCUGAAAAUGUUUCAGUUGUGCCCCCUGCAGAGCCACUGUCGGAGAAGCAGGCCAGCAAAGGUUCGGAUGGGAAGAGCAGGACAGGAAGGUGAAAAGUCCAGCCACACCAUGCAGGGAGAAGACAAAGCCCUGGCUUCCAAAAUAGCAGUCACCACUGGGGCAACGACUCACGGCCCCUCCUGAUCCACCUCUACCUUUGGCCCUCCCACACAGCCUGCAGGCAGCCUGUGUUGACACCACCAAGGACCUCUAGGGCUGAAGGGAGGGAAAAGAGGUCACGGCUAUUUUUCCCCAGCUCCCUCCCUGUGGAGUCACUGCCUCUACAGUCUUCCCAGUUUCCAGUGACCAACCUUCCCUUCUUCCAGGGAUCUGUUACUACCCUUGGGGUACCCUACACUCCACUCCCACCUUUGUAAGAUGACUUUAUUAAACUCUCCUCAGACUACCCUAACUUGAGUAUGUCUUUUGUUUC